This 107-nucleotide small nucleolar RNA is filed under the name Gossypium hirsutum (cotton). RNAcentral describes it as "Plant small nucleolar RNA R71". It matches the Rfam family "Plant small nucleolar RNA R71". From Rfam's summary of the family: R71 is a member of the C/D box family of snoRNAs containing the C (UGAUGA) and D (CUGA) box motifs. The record is from Rfam by way of RNAcentral. Lineage: Eukaryota; Viridiplantae; Streptophyta; Magnoliopsida; Malvales; Malvaceae.
AAACCAUGCAUUGGGCAUUUCCUAAGUAAUUCCUUGAAUCACUCCCAAGUUUCAUACAACGUCUUAUCCUUCGAUUGUCAAAAAGAUGUGAUAUCAUUCCUUAACUU